AGGAUGAAGGCCUUCGGGUUGUAAACUGCUUUUGUACGGAACGAAACGGUUCGCCUUAAUACGGUGGGCUAAUGACGGUACCGUAAGAAUAAGCACCGGCUAACUACGUGCCAGCAGCCGCGGUAAUACGUAGGGUGCGAGCGUUAAUCGGAAUUACUGGGGGUAAAGCGUGUUUAGGCGGUUAUGUAAGACAGAUGUGAAAUCCCCGGGCUCAACCUGGGACCUGCAUUUGUGACUGUAUAGCUAGAGUACGGUAGAGGGGGAUGGAAUUCCGCGUGUAGCAGUGAAAUGCGUAGAUAUGCGGAGGAACACCGAUGGCGAAGGCAAUCCCCUGGACCUGUACUGACGCUCAUGCACGAAAGCGUGGGGAGCAAACAGGAUUAGAUACCCUGGUAGA
Molecule: ribosomal RNA, 397 nt
Filed under: uncultured Rhodoferax sp.
Lineage: Bacteria; Pseudomonadati; Pseudomonadota; Betaproteobacteria; Burkholderiales; Comamonadaceae
Description: bacterial SSU rRNA
Rfam family: Bacterial small subunit ribosomal RNA
Source: RNAcentral